Molecule: ribosomal RNA, 274 nt
Filed under: uncultured bacterium
Lineage: Bacteria
Description: partial 16S ribosomal RNA
Rfam family: Bacterial small subunit ribosomal RNA
Source: RNAcentral
CUACGGAGGGUGCGAGCGUUACUCGGAGUCACUGGGCGUAAAGCGUCCGUAGGCGGUCGGGUAAGUCGGGUGUGAAAGCCCCGGGCUCAACCUGGGAAGUGCACCCGAUACUGCUCGACUCGAGUGCGGGAGAGGAUGGCGGAAUUCCCGGUGUAGCGGUGAAAUGCGUAGAGAUCGGGAGGAACACCAGUGGCGAAGGCGGCCGUCUGGCCCGCAACUAACGCUGAGGGACGAAAGCGUGGGGAGCAAACAGGAUUAGAAACCCUAGUAGUCC